RNAcentral lists this ribosomal RNA (759 nucleotides) under Haemophilus influenzae. RNAcentral describes it as "bacterial SSU rRNA". It matches the Rfam family "Bacterial small subunit ribosomal RNA", at positions 28 to 776 of the family's 1533-position model. Lineage: Bacteria; Pseudomonadati; Pseudomonadota; Gammaproteobacteria; Pasteurellales; Pasteurellaceae. The record is from RNAcentral.
AUUGAACGCUGGCGGCAGGCUUAACACAUGCAAGUCGAACGGUAGCAGGAGAAAGCUUGCUUUCUUGCUGACGAGUGGCGGACGGGUGAGUAAUGCUUGGGAAUCUGGCUUAUGGAGGGGGAUAACGACGGGAAACUGUCGCUAAUACCGCGUAUUAUCGGAAGAUGAAAGUGCGGGACUGAGAGGCCGCAUGCCAUAGGAUGAGCCCAAGUGGGAUUAGGUAGUUGGUGGGGUAAAUGCCUACCAAGCCUGCGAUCUCUAGCUGGUCUGAGAGGAUGACCAGCCACACUGGAACUGAGACACGGUCCAGACUCCUACGGGAGGCAGCAGUGGGGAAUAUUGCGCAAUGGGGGGAACCCUGACGCAGCCAUGCCGCGUGAAUGAAGAAGGCCUUCGGGUUGUAAAGUUCUUUCGGUAUUGAGGAAGGUUGAUGUGUUAAUAGCACAUCAAAUUGACGUUAAAUACAGAAGAAGCACCGGCUAACUCCGUGCCAGCAGCCGCGGUAAUACGGAGGGUGCGAGCGUUAAUCGGAAUAACUGGGCGUAAAGGGCACGCAGGCGGUUAUUUAAGUGAGGUGUGAAAGCCCUGGGCUUAACCUAGGAAUUGCAUUUCAGACUGGGUAACUAGAGUACUUUAGGGAGGGGUAGAAUUCCACGUGUAGCGGUGAAAUGCGUAGAGAUGUGGAGGAAUACCGAAGGCGAAGGCAGCCCCUUGGGAAUGUACUGACGCUCAUGUGCGAAAGCNNGGGGAGCAAACAGG